Molecule: long non-coding RNA, 206 nt
Filed under: Eucalyptus grandis
Lineage: Eukaryota; Viridiplantae; Streptophyta; Magnoliopsida; Myrtales; Myrtaceae
Description: long non-coding RNA (EGRA_LNC003464)
Source: RNAcentral
UUCACAACCAAUCGCUUAAAUAAACCAACGGAGUUACAAACGAAGGCCUACAACCAAAAGUCUACAAAAGACCGGCUCUUAAAAAUGAACUGUCCUACGACCUACAAGUCGGACACGCUCUCCAAUCCUUAUGACUUCACCUCUGCAACUCCUCAAGGCCAACCAAAGCUAUCUGGCCGCUCCGUCCACCAGGGACCUGAAAUUUU